RNAcentral lists this unclassified non-coding RNA (224 nucleotides) under Hevea brasiliensis (rubber tree). The record is from RNAcentral. Lineage: Eukaryota; Viridiplantae; Streptophyta; Magnoliopsida; Malpighiales; Euphorbiaceae.
AUUUGAUUAUUAUUUUAUUAAAUAUUUUAAAUUUUUAAGAUUAUAGUUGUUAAAUAUAAAAUGAGUAGGUGUGUUGGAAGGUGGUAUAUUUAAGUUUUGGAUAUAAAGGAUUUUAUUUUUUUUAGUUAGAUUUAAGUGUAUUAUUUUUUAGUAUAUUUGUUUAUUUUAUGUUUAAUAAUUAUAGUUUUGGAAGUUUGAGAUAUUUAAUAAGAUGAUAAUUAGAU